Molecule: long non-coding RNA, 12544 nt
Filed under: Vitis vinifera (wine grape)
Lineage: Eukaryota; Viridiplantae; Streptophyta; Magnoliopsida; Vitales; Vitaceae
Description: long non-coding RNA (VVIN_LNC003988)
Source: RNAcentral
UACCAGGCCAUCUUUUGCCUAUGUUUCCUACAUGGGAAUACUCCCCCAAAACUAAAAAACAAAACCACUAUAUAUCUUCAUUGCCCGGGACAUGCAAAAGAGUAAAAAAAAAAAGGGAAAAUAGAACAGAACUGGAGAUUGACAGAUGAUGAAGAAGUAUAUUUAUAUAUUUUAUAGUGCUAUUGCUUCUUGGAAGUGCCUAAACAUGUGUCAUUAAAGUAGUGGUUACGAGUUUGCAUUUCAUAAUUCGUUCCAGGAUAUAGGUGCAGUUCAAUUGUUUAAUUUACUGUUUAGUGGUUGGCAGCUCCCCACUCUUGCGCUAUACUAUGAAGAUGAUGUUAGAAAAACAAUCCCAGAUGGAUUCAGUAAUAAACAAGCCAACGCACCAAUUAAAAAGAAACAAACAAAAAUAUUGUUUUCAGAUCAUAAUAAGUCUAAUAUCAUGUAGUAGCGCACUUAAUCUACUUGAUAAGACGGUAACAGUAACAAUUGCCAUUUACCAUCACUUCUCCAUAAUCCAUACGCGUUGGCCGGAAUCUGUGACCCAAGUUUUUCUUCAGGGGUUUCUGCUUCUCCUUAGGAAGAUUCAUCUUCUAAAACAUGGAAUCAUGGUUAGAAGCACUUCUAAAAUUAUCUGUUAAUAAAAGAAUAUUGAAAUAGAAGGGCUGUUGAAAUAAAUAGCAGGUUGAAGAGAAGCAAUUUUGAAUAAACAAACAAAUGAAUGAAUAAUAAUAUGACAUGAAGGAAUUUUUGGACAGAAUGAAAAUCUGUAGUCAUUCAGUUGGUGGAUAAAAAUGGAGUGAUUGUCAAAUUUUUUUUUUUUUUUUUGUGUUUGUAUAUGUGGAAGGAGAAAAGAAAGAGUAGAAAUGAAUGACUUACCAACAAUUAAUAAGAUGGAGGGCACGUGUCGGACUUUAUAGAAAUCAUCCCCUUCUAUUCCAUUUAUCACUUGAAGCCUCUGUAUGAAUUCUUUGGGCAUAUUAAAAAUUUCCAAUAUUUGAAGCGUAGUGAUAUAUCUCAGCCCUUCAGGAACCAUUGCCAAUGACGUGCACCUCUGAAUUGAUAAGUGCUUUAGACUAGGCAUUGCACUUUUAUCCACCCACAACAAUUUUAUGGCAUAGUCAAAGGAGAGCCCCAGAAAUGUGAGUCGAGGGAACCCAUUUGCAGAGAAAACAAUUUCCUCCCCUAAGUAAAAAUUAGACCAUAAGCACAGGGCUGUCAAGUUAAGAAGCCUCUCCAGAAUUGGUAUCGGAUCCUGUCUUAGGUAAGACCCGCACAAGGUUAACUUGGUGAGGUUCGGAGGCAAGUGAUGGUGCCCAGGGAGUUUGCUUAUUUCUCCUCCUAGGAAAAGCUUAUAAAGAUGUUGACAUAUUGAUAAUUGCCUCAGAUCUGUUUCUUCCAUGGUGGCCCUUACUUUAUCCAAAUACAAGGACUCAAGGUUGUUUGAAAUGGGACAGGAGGGUUUGAGGAGAUUAUCACCAACUCUUUAAAGCUUUUGGCAUUUCUUAUCUGCAAUUUUCGAAGCUUGGUCAACUGGGCCAAAUCUUGUACCUCCCAAUGUUCUCCAUCAAAGUUUUUUAGUGUCUCCAAGUUGCUUAGCUUGCCCAAUUGCACCUUGCUAUCAUCAACCUUAAGAUACAUAGGAAGGUAGAGAUGCCUUAGACAUUUCAUCCUACCUAUCACUUUAUUUAAUCCAAAACAAUUUAUCGGUUGAUCAGCGUCGGCGGCACUAUAAAACCGCAAAUCCAAUGUUUGGAUACAACCUAAAUUUCUUAUAAAGGAUGGGAAGCUUGGCAGAGAAGCACUUUUUAAACUUAAGUACUUCAAGUGUAUGAGGUUGCCUAAUGCCUCUGGUAUAUUUUCUUCCAAUAGAAGUUCCUCAAGACUUAACACUCUUAAUAAUUUGAAGUUCUUCCAGUCGGUAUUUCUCAGCACCUUGGGGAUUAUCGAUGAAUAUUGUGUAUCGAAUGUUAGAAGAGACCGAAGGUAUGUACCGUUUUGUGGGAUCAAAUUGACAUAGAUAUUAGCACCUUCAUCUCCAUUUUCAGAGAGUAGUCUAGCCUCUUCAAUACUCUCUGAAGGACGGCGUCGAUCGAGAAAUAUGGCACGUCUUCGGACUUUAUUUGAAGUGCGUGUUGUUGGCAUGGAAGAUGAAAAUGUCUCCAUCUGUUGAAGAUUGACAAUCUCAAGAAAAUUUUCUUCCUCUGCUUUUGACAAGCAUAAAUCUCGCAUAAGGUCAUGCAAUCGGCAAGUUUGGACUCUUCCGUUUGAAUCCCUUCUUCCUACUUGAACCAUACACCUUCCAAUUAGCUCAUCUAGAUACCCUUCUGCAACAUCCUCCGAUGUUUCUUCUCCCACUCGUGAUACAAUCCCUUCAGCCACCCACAUUCGUACCAAAGCUUUUUUAUGUAUUUCGUGGUCCUCAGGGAAAUGGCCCAAAUAGAGGAAACAUGACUUUAAUUGGUAUGGCAAAUCUUGGUAGCUUAGAGCCAACACAUUCGACACACCACUACCUUGUUGCUCGCAUUUGUCUUUACCGCUUCUCAAGUAUGAUUUAGUAUGUUUAUGAAUCCUUUCCCAUUCAUAGGUGUGGUGUUUUGUAGCCAGAAGUCCUCCAAGCACAACAACAGCAAGCGGCAAACCACCACAAUAUUUAGCCAUUUCCUUUCCCAAUAACUCCCUGUUGUUAAUAGUGGUAGGAUCUAGAAAAUCAUAUGAAAUUGAUUAAGAACAUUAUGAAAAGCAUUCAAACAAGGGUAAUGCAAUUCAUCAUAACAAUCCCAUGUAGCAUAAAGAAGUAACCAAUUUAAAAGACUUUCUUUGUGUUGCUCUUUCUUAACAACAUAUACUUGUUCAACAAUCUUUUAAAUAGUUUUUUUUUGUCAAAUUACACUGUUUUAAUAGAUAAAUUAUAAAAUUACUCAUCAAUUACUCACAAAAUUAAAGCUGGAAAAAAAUUUAAAGUCCUGCCAUGGACGUGGGCAACAAAACCUAUGAGCUCAAAUUGGUCCCAUGUUUUAAUUUGCAACCCUAGUUUCAAUUUAUUAUUAGGCCAAAGUUUGGUUAAACUCAUAUUUUGAUGAUAACAAAAUAAGGAUUGAAUUUAAUGUUUUCUGAUUUAAUGAAUCAGAUAAGAAGAUUUCCUUAGAACCAUCAUGUAGAAGAUAUAUGGAGCAAAAGAGAAUAUCUAGAAGGUUUACCAAGCUUAUUUUUAGGUUACUUUUAUGUAAGAUUGUGCCUGCAUUGAAUUAAAAAUGCAUAUUAUUAUUAUUAUUAUUAUUAUUAAAGCACCUAACACUUCAAAACUCAUCCAAUUGAACCCAAAUGGGUCUUUACCCUAAGCCUUAAACCUUAGACCUAAACUUAAACCUAAAUUAUCUUUUCAAAAUUGGAUGAUGAAUUUUUUUAAAUGAAAAUUACCUUUUAUUAGUGUUAUUUAUGGUUUAAAAAGUUUUCAAAAUGUUAACAGGUUAAUUUUGUUAAGUUUCCUAAAAAAAUUUACACUGCGGAUGCAAAAAGUUUCAAAAAUUAUGGAACUUGCUUUUUUUUUUUUUCAAUUUUUUUUUGAAAUAAAUAUAAUAGGCUAAAAAUUAUAGACAUAGAUAUAAUAGCAUCUCCUAAUGUGAAUAGAUCAAAGAUACAUUGCCACUCCAAGAAAUUACCUAUGAAGGCACCAACCAAGUAAAAGAAUUUCAUAUAAACAUCUUUGUGAAUAAUUAUGAUUUUUUUUCAAUGAAAAUUUUUGAUCCAUUGAUGAGAUGUGUACUAAGUUUAUGAAGAUUAUAAAUGAACUUUAUGCUUUGAGAAAGACUUGUUAGGAUAUAGUAUUUAAAAAGUUGACAUGAUGUAAUAAACAUGUAGAUUUUUAUUAUUUAUUUAAUAAAGUUUCAGAUGGGCGAACCACUAGGGCAAGCUUCAUCCUUGUUAUAUUUACUGCACCAAAUAUAUAUAGAAUAAAACUCAUUAUAUAAAGAUAAUAUUAAAAAUAAUAUUUUAAUGAAAAAAUUAAUUAUAAUUAUUUUAUAAUUAAAUGAAAAAAUUUCAGUUAAUUGAUUACCAAAAAUGUAAAAAUUAUCAUGAUAAUUUUCUUUAUAAUGUUUUUAAUAUCAUUAAUAUAUUAAUUAAAUAUUAAAAAUUAUACAUAUAUCAUAAUUUAUUUUGUAUCAUUUAAUAUAAUUGAAUUAAAUGGAUUAUACUUUUAAUAUUAAAUGCAUUCUUAAAUUAGACAUAUUAUAAUCAAAUAUCACAAUAUUAUUAUAUAAUAAUAUUUGAUACAAUUUAAUAAUAAAUAUACACUUAUGAAAUUUAUAUUUUUUAUCGAUGCAUACAAGAUUAUUAUGAAAUAUGAUAAAUUAUAUCAUACAUAUAUCAAUUUCUUGAACAAAACAACUUUAAAAUACUUAUUAUACUUCUAAUUUCAUUUUUAAGAGUAUUUUCUUACAUUUUUACAAGUUUUGAUCAAUUUUUAGUCCACCGAUAUUUUUUGUUAAAUUAUCCACCAAUAUUUUGUGUCAAACUAUCCACUGAUAUAUCUUCGAUAUAUUUAUAAAAUCGAAGUACUGAUAUAUUUGUAAUUACUGAUAUUUUUAUCAUUGACUAUCAUGCACCACCUUUUAUUUGGAAGGGUAACUAAUUUUGGCUAUCGGGAUGAAUUUCUACUGUGCCUGCAUUGGUGUAUAUGAUUAUACAUUAGAUAGAACCUAAUGUGAGUCAUGACUUAAGACUAUUAAGUACAUGACUUUACCAAGUUGCUUAAUUAGGUUGUUUCUCAACCUUGAGGGAAUAUUAAGCUUAAGCUAAAGUUAGCAAUGACUUUGAAUACGAGUGAGAUCGUAAACUAAUCAUAUAUUUCCUAUGGAUUGGGUCAGUGUUGAUGGAAAUUGAUAGUAAUAGGUAUUCUUAAUAGAAGCACCAAGAUAUCUUAGGGGAUUGAGACAGAGUGUGUCCAUGGGUGAUCCUAAAGAGGUAUGUUCAUGAAAACUAUGACCAUAGUAGUUCUUUAAGUGGAACUUGACAUUAGCUUGUGGAGAGUUAAGACAUGUCAAUUGAACGCACAAUAGGAUGAUCUAUAACUCAAGAACGUAAAGAUAGUCUUGAAAGAUUGAUAGCUUUCAUUUUAUUAGAUUAUAAAUAUUAGUUCAUGGGGAGACUAAAUGCAAUGGAUAAAGAGGUCAUAGACAUGAGCACAUAGUGUAUUGUUAUUAUUUACAUAAGAUAUUGGAGUUCAGUUGAUUUUCUAUAGUGGGAUAUUGAAUCAAAUUCAAAAUUGGAUUAUGAGAGAGCCGAUACUCCUAUGGGUCCCAAUGGUCUUCGCUUUGAGCUUAUAUGCCUUGUUGUGAUAGGUUAUGAAUGUUGGAUUGAUUCUAAGUUCACUUUUAUGUAUAAAAGUGUUUUGUUAAUUACAUAAGAUUGCACAAAGGUAAGUGAACAAUGUCUCUGGAUUGGAUUAAUUGAUUAAUUAGUAAGUCAUAUUGGGUUGAUUAAGCAAUUAUGAUCCAUUCUGAGGUAGAUUAAGUGACUCAAACUUUUAAUGGGAUUAAGUCACUUAAGCUUAGUGGGAAACUUUAUAAAUAACCCAUUAGGGGUUAGGGUUUCUAUAACUUUUUCUAAAGAGUCAUUUUCCACCUUCAGAAAGAAAGAGAAAGAGUCAUAGCCUCCACUUUAUUUUCCAUUGCCAUUAGAAGUGUGUCAAGAUUAUGGUUCGAGUCAUCAGGUGGAAGACUCUGGGUUUACAAGAUUUCCUACAACUUCGUUCUUUAUUUUUAUGGUGUGGAAUCGAUUUGGGAACAUUCAAAUCUAAGGUAUGUCUUUUGUUAGCACUUUUUGAAUCUGUUUUAAGUUUAAAAAUGCAAUUUUUUCCUUAUGCAUAAGAUUUAGACAAGCCUGGGAUAGUUAAGUAUGUCCCUAACCUGAUCUAAGCUUGAAAAAUGAAGAGGUCUAUGUUUUUCCCAUCAAGACCUACAUGGAAGUAGAGAAAAUAUUUUUUUUUAGGUAUUUACCAAAGAAGUGCGAAGCUAAGGUGACCGUCAUCUAAGAAGUUAAAGAUAUCACCACACUACUUGAUCUUGAAGAACUCAUUGGGUUACUUAUGACUCAUGAGAUACACAUGAACAAGCAUCAAAGAGUUAAAAGAAUAAAUAUGAUAUUUCUUUAAAAAAAUUGACAAUUGAUGAUGACGAGGAGUGAAGUGAAGAUGAAAACUUUGAUUUCAUUUCAAAGAAUAAGUUUAUGAAGUUUAUCAAAACUGAGAAGAUUAAGGGAGGAAGACUUUAUCCAAAGAAGGAUAAAAUGAUUUUUGCAAAAGAAAAUGUAGUUUUGAAAAAAAUAAAACUGCAUGCCUCAUAUCCUUUCUUGAAAUUUUUUCCAAUGAAUAAGAGAUUUUCAAUAUGAUUGAGUAAACCGAAAAUGUAUUUUUGAUGAGAAGGGAUAAGGUUACUAACCUCAUAAAAAUGAAAAGUAUUGUAAAAAUAAUUUUGUGAAAGAGACUUCAAGAAGUAAUUUGAGUACCAUUUGUAAUUUUUAUGGGAGAGGAAGUUAUAUUAAUGGUAAUUGUCCUUUAAUGUCACAUCUAGUUCUAAGUGAUGUUGAAUUCCAAAGGAGAAAAAUAUUGACCUUCUAGGAACCAAAAAAAUAUGAAAAUUAAAAGUUACUUGAAUAUUACUUGCAAGGAUCCAACCAAGAAGAAAGGAAGUUGUGCUUACCUUAGAAACAUAGCAAAAACAGGAAUCAUUGACAUUGACAAUCUGUUGGUAAUGAUAUCUCUCCUAAAUUUAAAAUAUCAUUUUGCAAAGCAUAAAUCAUCUUUGAAAAAAAUAUUUUUAAAAUCAUCUUUUGAUUUAUCAUUUGAAUGCAAGUGCUUAAUAUUUUUCAAAUCAAAAGAAAAGUUUUUGGAAAAAAUUGAUUUACUUUGAUGAUGAAGCAAUUCUUUACUUUUGAUCUAUCAAACCCAUUUUGCUAAGAGAUUGUAAAUGUGAUGGUGAGUUAGGUAUUGAAGAAGAAUAUUGAUGAAGCUGAGCUUCACAACAAGGAAAAAUGGAAAAGGAUGCAAAGUCAAAUGAAAAAAAAAAAAAAAAAAAAACUCUACAUUAAAGGGAGAAAGUGAAUAAAGAAUCUUCAAAGGAUUGAAGAUAACACCAUUAACAAAGUUAAUAUAAGAGAGGUAAAAGUUUUUGUUUUUAUCUUAGAAAUACUUGAAUUUUUUUUAGCUAUUCUAUCCUAUUGAUUUGAAAUUUUUAGGAGGCAAAAUAGAUAAUGUUUUGAAUUAUGAUCAUGCAUAGAAAAAUGUUUAAUAAUUGCAUGAAAUGGAUAAUAAUUGCUAGCAAAAUUAAGGUUCAAAUAAAAAAGAAAGAUAUAAUUUAUGAAACCUUAGGAAAUAUAAAAUGCUUAUUUGCUCACAUGUUUCAAUAAUCUAUCUUAUGCAUGCUUAUGUGUUGCAUUAUUUUUGUAAAUAAAAUUGCAAAUAUUGUCAAUUUUCUCAUUUCUUUAUAUUUUUCCAAAUCAUGUUUUAUCUUGCAUGCAUUUGAUCUUAAACCUAUGCUAGCAAGUUUAUUCAAAUUGUAACCUUUUGAGAUUGCUCAAGCGUGGGGAUUUGCCUAGUAGGAGAUAAUAUUUGAGGACUUCAGUGCUAGACAUCUCUUGAAAAGGUUCAUUGGAAUUGUAAGAGUAGAAGGCUUUGGCUUGAAAAGCCUAAGAAUGAUGGAACCCUUAUUUCAGUUGAAGUUUUAUGAAAAUGGAUGUAAGUAGGGUUACGCUAAACCACUUUAAAAUCUUGAGUUUAAAAUUUCUCUACCAUUUCUUUAUUCAUUUUAUAUGCAAUUGUUCAUUCAUCAUGUUUUCUACCUAUAGCUUAAAUAGCUAUUAUGAAAUCAUAUUUGUAAAAAUGGGAAAAAGAGACAAAUACCCCAUUUAUCUCCCUCUUGAGUAAAUACCUAGGUUGUUUUAUCAUAAUGACAAUCCUAUGUCGUAGCUAUGAAAUCUAAUUGGAAAGGAAAAUAAUAGAAAAUGCUUUUGGGUGUGUUGAAAAAUACCUCUCCUAUCAUCUCUGGGGAAUGCUUUGGUUCGAAGAAGCUCCCAACUCUUUUCCUCAGAUAAAAGCCCUGGUUGGUACAAAAAGCCUUGUAGUGGAUCCGCAUGUGAAGCCACUGCUUGGAUCCGAGUGGUGAGCAGUAUUUUGCUACCAGCUUUAUGCAGUGGAAAGGCAGGUUUUAGACUCUCCCAGUCUCCUAUUUUCCACAUAUCAUCCAGAAUCACAAGACAUUUCUUCUCCUCUUGGAUUUUAUACGCGCUCUCGAAUAGCUCCUCAUCCCUCAUGUUGCGGAUUUUCGUUUUGUGCUCUUCAUUAGCAGAAGUGAGUUGGAUCAAUAUUCCUUGUACAACAUCUCUGACGUUGAAGUAUUGAGAUAUGGAACUCCAAGCAACAUGGUCAAAAUGACGCCUAACUUGAGCAUGAUGAUAAACCUUCUUGGCAAGAGUGGUCUUUCCCAGACCGCCCAUACCGUAUAUGGAAACAACCGACCCUCCCUUGUCUGGUUUCAUCAACUGUUCCAGCAAAAUCUCCAUGCUAUCCUCCACCCCAACCGUAUCUUCAUCGACAUCGUGGGAGUAAGUCUGCCUAGGCAAUUGUUGGCUCUUGGUUCUGAAACCAGAGCCUUCUCCUUCUGCUAUGCUCCUCAAGUUAUAUUGUGAAUUUUCAGUCAGAAGGGAGAUUCUGCUUUUUAUGGCGUCAAUCUCUGUCCCAACCUCAUGGAAUGCUUUAAAUUCUGAUAAGAAGCAAGCAUACCUCUUGAGAUUGUGUUGGAGGCCGCUUCUCUUGCUCCUCAGCGCAGCCUUGGAGGCAAAAGUCUCUAUGAUGUCCUCGGUGUCAUAAGCAGCCUCUCUGAUUUCUGCAACCCAAUUGCGAAUAACCUCAUUUUCAUAUUGUCUUGCAUCUGCAUCUCUCAGAAAGCAUCGCAUCAUCCUUAGCUCAGCUUGAAUUUCAGUAACUUUGUCGCUCACCCCAUGUAAGUAACUCGCCUCUUGAACCAACAGGUCACCUAGCCUUUCCACAGCAAAGGACACAACAGCCUCCGCCAUUUGUUUGCUGUUACUUGUUCCUCCAAAGGAGAAAUGUUCAAAAGAUGAUCGCCUCCGCAAUCUCUUCUACACCUCCAUGACUGUAAAAAUGUAAAUCACCCUAUUUAAUUGUAUUUUUACAUAAUUUAGAAAAAAAAUUGCAUUUGUAUCCUUUGUAGUUUCUGAAAUUAAAAUGCACACUUUGUUGAGCCUUCAACACCACCCUUCUCCAUAAAGUCAAGGUACUUGCAAGGUCAGGUUGACUCGGGUGAAUCGUCCGAGUUACCAGAAUUUCUUAGUUGAACUCAUAAAUCAAUUUUUUCUCUUCCAAAUCACAAGAAAAGAACACCAAAUAGCAAUCAAAAUUGAGAAAUUUCUGAAAAUCAGUGAUUCUCUUCAAAAGGAAAAGUUUUUCAGAAGGAGAAAACGACCCGAUGAUGUCCUUGAAAAUUUUUCAGUCCAACCUGUGAUUGUCUUUGAGAACACAACGGAUGGACUGCAGCACCUUGGUGUCAGCGGCGUGACUGUGGUGACUGCUGAGAAGCAUCGGAUCCCUCCUUCCUCCAUUGCCCAUAAUUCUAAUUACAUGCGUAGUAGCACACUCAAUGAUGACAAGCAAUAGAAAGUAAAAGUAGAAUAGAAGGCUGUCUCCAAUAAUACACUCUCUUUGAACAUGGGAGUCUACCACACUCCAAUCAAACACAUAAAGAAGCAAGAAAAGGCCACCAAGUGGGGUCUGCAAUUUGCACCAACCCUCAAUAAUGUCAGCACAGGAGCCACCUAGUGCUCUUCGUUUCAUAUUUGCUUUUGCAAGUGGGCUGAUCAUGAAAUCUGAAUGAUCCAAAAUAUCAAGAUUAGAAUUUGGACUUUAAAAUAUUAUCCUAAUUCUCAAUUGGUUUCUACUCUUCUACUCGAGGCAUCUCUUUAGAAUUAGGACAUUUUUCAAAUGCUCCCUCCGAUAGGAAAGGGAAAAGAAAGGUGUAACAUCUCAGGGGCUAAUAGAAUAUCAUGGAACACAGCCCAUUUUGGUAAUUUCUUUGGGUGGGCAUUCAUUGCAAGCUAUUUAUUAGAGAGUAUAUAAAGUUUAGGAAGUCUCUAAAUUCAAAAUUUAGAAUUUGAUUUAGAGUUUAUUUACUAGUGAUUUUAAGAAGCACUUCUAAUAUUUUUAGCACUUAAAUUUUUUUAUCUUGAGUGUUAGAGGAGUUAGAAAUACUUUUUAAAAUCAUUAUCAAACAUGCUCUUAGUAUAAGUAAUUAACAUUGUAUUUGUGUAUAUUUUUUAUUUAUUUAUAUUUUUAAAAACAAGUAGUAGGAACUCUUAAACAAAUUAUAGAGAUUGAUUUUUAAAAAAUAAUGAUUUUUAAAAUGGUUUAAAAAAUUGAAGUAUUUAAAAACUUUUUUAUUAGGUCACAUUUAAAAAAUUUGAUAAAAUUUUUUAAUAACAUAAAGUAGGUCUCUAAUUUUUGUUUAAGGUUCCUAGAUUUUAUAUAGGAAAUGCUACUGGCAUGUUUGGUGAUGCUUCCUUACACUUGUUUUCUAAAAAAUAUUUUUUAAUUUAAAAAACAAAAAAAAUAGUAUUUUUAGUAAUUUCUAAGAAUGAGGAUAUUUAGCAAGUUGUUUUUUGAAAAUAUUUUUCAAGAUUUUUUUUUUUGUUUGGAUAAGUUUUUUUGAAAAAUAAUUUUUUCUUUGAUUUUGUAAAAACGUUGUAUUUAAUGUUAAUUAACUUUAUUCAAGUUUUAUUAAAAAUGAAAAUAAUUUUGGAAUUACAAAUAAAUUAAAAAAUAAAUAUUUUUUUAGUAAAAUAUGAAUAGGAAUAUUAUGAUAAAAUCAUAAAUAGUUUUUUUAUUUAAAAAUACUAUUUUAGUAUAUGUUAUAAAAAUAUGAAUAUUAACAUCUUUAUAAAAUGAUACUUUUUUUUUGUUAUUAUUAAAAAUGAAUAAUAAUAUUUAAAAAUAAUUCUUAACAAUUUUUUAUUUUAAAUGAAUGUAAAAAAAAAUAAAGUUUAACUUUUUUAACAUAUAAAUGAGUCAAAAUUUUUAUUACAUGCAAACAUUUAGUAUUUAAUUAGAAUAUUCUAGAAUAUUUUGAUUUAAUGUGCAAUUAAUUGAAUCAAUUUUUUGAGUGCUAAAUUAUUUUAAAAAUUAUUAAACUUAUUAAUAAAUUUAUCAUUUGAUUUGAAGUUCAUUUCUAUAAUGAGAAAAUUCAUAAAAAUAAAUUAUGUGCAAAAAAAAAAACUAAUAGAGUCAUUGUAUACCGAUUUUUACUCAUAAAUUUAUGAUAUUAAUUGAGUCACUAUUUGAGUUUCAAAUUAUUUUAAAAAAUUAUUAGACUCGUUGAUAAACUAAAUGUAUUAAGUUUUACUUAAUUUGGAAUUUAUUUGUCUUGUGAAAAAAAUGAGAAAAAUAUGAUUUUAUAUAGAAGAAAAAUAAUAGAAUCAUUCUAUAUCAAUUUUUAUCUAUGAAUUUUUUGUACUAAUUGGGUUACCAUUUGAGUUUGAAGUUAUUUUUAAACAUUGCUAAACUUCUUAAUGAAUCCAACGCUUUUGUUUCCAUUAGUAUGCCUCCUCCAUGUAUACAAGGGAAUCGAGAUGAUUGAAACUUAUUAAUAAAAUCUCUAUUGGGGGAAAAAAAAAGAGAUAGCACUACUACUAAUAUGUUUUGUGAAAGAGUGAAAAUUGUAUGCGUCAUAAUUGAGAGAAGAAGGGAACCUUUUUGUCAUUGUAACCCUUCUAUCUCUAUUAAAUUAGUGGAUUCUUCAAUAUUAGUGCACUCCAUGGAUGUAGGGAUUAUAUUGUUCAUUGUAUCAUAUCAAAAUCUUGUCUUCUUUCUUUAUUUCUACUGGUGUGUGUGGUAUAGUUAACAAGUUCAACCAUAAUCACAGCUACCAUGUCACGUAUAUGUUGCUCUCUCAAUAAAUGUUUAUCUAUGUGUUGUUCUGCCAAAGUUCUUGUUUAUACUAGAACAAGGCUGUGUUUUUUUUAGAAAAAUAAUUAUGUGCAUAAAUAUGGGUGUUAUGUUGGCAUCAUUCUUUACCAAGGCUCUGUCUUUCACUUUUGGUUGUAAUUUCUCACCAUAUGGAAUUCCUCGAGUUUUAGUUGGCUAGUGAUUUUCGUGGUUAAUGGUGGCUUAUCUGGAUAACUUGAAAAAAGUUGAGUGUUUUUUUUUUUUUGCUUUUCCAGAGUUGGGGUUCACUUAUCUGCUGAGGGAAGCAAGAUAGUUGUGGAGGAGAUACUGAAGGUGCUGAAGGGAGCUGAAUGGGAGCCAAGUCUACAGGGCGAUUCAAUGGGACUAAGUGACCAAGUCAUCUUUUGCCUAUGUUUCCUACAUGGGAAUACUCCCCCAAAACUAAAACAAAACCAAUAUAUGUCUUCAUUGCCCGGGACAUGCAGACGAGUAAAAAAAAAAAAAGAAGGAAAAUAGGACAAAACUUGACAUUACUAGAUGAAGAAGUAUAUUUAUAUAUUUUAUGGUGGUAUUGCUUAUUGGAAGUGCCUA